RNAcentral lists this ribosomal RNA (254 nucleotides) under uncultured bacterium. Its description in RNAcentral is "partial 16S ribosomal RNA". It matches the Rfam family "Bacterial small subunit ribosomal RNA", at positions 524 to 776 of the family's 1533-position model. The record is from RNAcentral.
GACGAACCGUGCGAACGUUAUUCGGAAUCACUGGGCUUAAAGCGCGUGUAGGCGGGGUGGCACGUCGGUCGCUGAAAGCCCCCGGCUCAACCGGGGAAGGGGCGCCGAUACGACCACCCUGGAGGGACGUAGGGGGACCUGGAACUUCCGGUGGAGCGGUGAAAUGCGUUGAGAUCGGAAGGAACGCCCGUGGCGAAAGCGAGGUCCUGGACGUUUACUGACGCUGAGACGCGAAAGCCAGGGGAGCGAACAGG